GUCGAGCGGUAACAGAUCCAGCUUGCUGGAUGCUGACGAGCGGCGGACGGGUGAGUAAUGCAUAGGAAUCUGCCCGAUAGUGGGGGAUAACCUGGGGAAACCCAGGCUAAUACCGCAUACGUCCUACGGGAGAAAGGGGGCUCCGGCUCCCGCUAUGGGAUGAGCCUAUGUCGGAUUAGCUAGUUGGUGAGGUAACGGCUCACCAAGGCCACGAUCCGUAGCUGGUCUGAGAGGAUGAUCAGCCACAUCGGGACUGAGACACGGCCCGAACUCCUACGGGAGGCAGCAGUGGGGAAUAUUGGACAAUGGGGGAAACCCUGAUCCAGCCAUGCCGCGUGUGUGAAGAAGGCCCUCGGGUUGUAAAGCACUUUCAGCGAGGAAGAACGCCUAACGGUUAAUACCCGCUAGGAAAGACAUCACUCGCAGAAGAAGCACCGGCUAACUCCGUGCCAGCAGCCGCGGUAAUACGGAGGGUGCAAGCGUUAAUCGGAAUUACUGGGCGUAAAGCGCGCGUAGGUGGAUUGAUAAGCCGGUUGUGAAAGCCCCGGGCUCAACCUGGGAACGGCAUCCGGAACUGUCAAGCUANAGUGCAGGAGAGGAAGGUAGAAUUCCCGGUGUA
This 619-nucleotide ribosomal RNA is filed under the name uncultured bacterium. RNAcentral's name for it is "bacterial SSU rRNA". It matches the Rfam family "Bacterial small subunit ribosomal RNA", at positions 61 to 677 of the family's 1533-position model. The record is from RNAcentral.